AGAGUUUGAUCCUGGCUCAGAACGAACGCUGGCGGCAGGCUUAACACAUGCAAGUCGGAGGUGAAGCAGGGCUUCGGCCCUGUGGAAACUGGCGCACGGGUGAGUAACGCGUGGGAAUCUACCCUGGGGUGGGGAAUAACCGCUGGAAACGGCGGUUAAUACCGCAUACGCCUUGAGAGGGAAAGCUUUAUGCGCCCUGGGAUGAGCCCGCGUCGGAUUAGCUUGUUGGUGAGGUAACGGCUCACCAAGGCUUCGAUCCGUAGCUGGUCUGAGAGGAUGAUCAGCCACACUGGGACUGAGACACGGCCCAGACUCCUACGGGAGGCAGCAGUGGGGAAUAUUGGACAAUGGGGGAAACCCUGAUCCAGCCAUGCCGCGUGCGUGAAGAAGGCCUUAGGGUUGUAAAGCGCUUUCGGCGGGGAAGAUGAUGACGGUACCCGCAGAAGAAGCCCCGGCUAACUCCGUGCCAGCAGCCGCGGUAAUACGGAGGGGGCAAGCGUUGUUCGGAAUUACUGGGCGUAAAGGGCGCGUAGGCGGACGAUUAAGUUAGAGGUGAAAGCCCUGGGCUCAACCUGGGAACUGCCUUUGAAACUGAUAGUCUAGAGUCCGAGAGAGGAUGGCGGAAUUCCCAGUGUAGAGGUGAAAUUCGUAGAUAUUGGGAAGAACACCAGUGGCGAAGGCGGCCAUCUGGCUCGGUAC
RNAcentral lists this ribosomal RNA (699 nucleotides) under uncultured bacterium. Its description in RNAcentral is "bacterial SSU rRNA". It matches the Rfam family "Bacterial small subunit ribosomal RNA", at positions 8 to 740 of the family's 1533-position model. The record is from RNAcentral.